Molecule: non-coding RNA, 29 nt
Filed under: Homo sapiens (human)
Lineage: Eukaryota; Metazoa; Chordata; Mammalia; Primates; Hominidae
Source: RNAcentral
UGCUGGCCUGUGGGGAAUCAUUCUCUUUC